CUGCGGAUGAUGAAUAGAUCAUGGGCGUGAUCACCUUCUUUAUCUUCAGUUGUGCUUUUAUUGGGACUUGACCAUGGAACUGGCAUGUAUUAUAAACUGAGUUGGUGUUGUUUCAAAACUACUUUGUUUCUGCUACUGCUAUGGUUUGUAAUAACCACUUUAAACUCUAAUGUGAUGUAAAACUAUGUUCUGUGAUGAAUGUUGUAAUCUGUGAUGGUGAUGC
RNAcentral lists this long non-coding RNA (223 nucleotides) under Sorghum bicolor (sorghum). RNAcentral describes it as "long non-coding RNA (SBIC_LNC004552)". Lineage: Eukaryota; Viridiplantae; Streptophyta; Magnoliopsida; Poales; Poaceae. The record is from RNAcentral.